GCGUGAAACGAGAACGAAACACGAUGGCAAUAACGCGCGGCGUAAUUGGCGUGAAGCGCAUCUGCUCUCGCGAAUACGUGUGUAUGCUCGUGAUGCGGAAUAUUAAUGAGUGGGAUGGACGGGCGCGGAUCCAUCGGUCGUUCGUGCGCGAAUUAUAAUGCGACGAUGCGGGCACGGUGUUUGCGUGUAUUUCACCGAGUGAAUAGCAAGCAGCCAGAUUGUGAAAAGUUCAAGCGACGUUUCGGCCUCCGCAACGAUUUUGACUGGGUUGCGUAACCGUUCGCGGAAAAUUCAGACAUCGUUCAACGACGAGAAAUUGCUUGCAGAGCGAGAAGUGUCCCCGAUUAGAGGAAAAAUGUUCUAUUUGCAAUUUUCUUACGAAGAAAACCCGGGAGUUGGCGCGACUUUUAAGAAGGACUUUGGAACGAUCAAAUAAACACUUAAUCAAUUGAAGAUAAUGCAACGAAACGAUACAUAAUAUUGCUGAUUACAUCGAUCUCGCACAAAUGAAUUUAUUACGCAAUCUAAUACGAAAUAACGAGAACUUGUCUCAUCGAUCCAUUUCACAAGCUCGCCAUUCCGAUUCCAUCGAGAUCGACUGAUAAUUCCGCGACCAAGCAAUACUCGAUCCAUUGUUUGCGUACACUUUUCCGAUCAAAUAGCGCAUCGCCACCUGCGAUUCGCGCAAACAAGAUCAAUGCCCAAAAACAUUAGCAAACGGUCCGUAGGGCUAAUAAGCGAUGGAACAUCAGUAUCAGCGUGACGCUAUUUACUGCAACAACGAUAUUAAACGAUAUUCACGUAUCUGUGGACUUAGCACGACAUUAUUGAUAGCGACCAACGCUGGCAAACAAUGCAGGUAUUAACGUAUAACUCGGAGAACGUUAUUAAUACUCCAUCAAGUUUGCGAAUACAGACCUAUUUACUUUUAGGUGCGAAGUUUAUUUUAUUCUAAUUGGGUGGAAAUUCAUUUAGGAUUGAAUUUUAGAACAGAAAUAUUUGUUAAGAAAAAGGAAAAGAUAUUUGUAUAAGAAACAUAUACGUACGAAAAUGUCGUAGAGGAUUUUCAAAAUAGGGGAUCUUGAUUUAUAAUAUAAAUUAAAGGAUUUAUACUUGUAAAAUGAAGAAAGUUAUAGAUUAAGGAAUCUUUUAUUUUUUUAUCGUCGAAUUAUUUUCUCUAAUUCUUUAGACUUUAUCAUUCAAGCCUGAAGCAACGUUAUGGAAUGAAAAAUAUAACAAAUAUUCGAAAAAGGUAUUUCUAUAUCGAUUUAGAAAGUAGAUAGAGAAAGAUGAGGUAAAAUAUUUGCAUAUUACGCGGUAGAUGAUAAUUUCUGAAAAGUGUUAAGAGUAAUCAGAAACAUAUAAAAAAGCAAUAAAGUAUUGAAAUAAUUAUUUCUAAAAAUUCCACUAAUCUAACUGAUAACAAUAUGCACUUGUACAAAUAUUCACGGUAUAAUCAUAUUAUUUUGAAGAAAUAAAUAUUGGAGGAUGACAGUUCUCCCGUAACGACGAGAAAAUCGUGGAUUUACGAAUCGACAGAUUGAAGGGUCGAAUUAAGGUAAAAUCAUCCGCUAAUGAAAAUGUCGACAUCGCAUUCCGACGGUGAUGUCGUGGGACUCCGCUUUCGUUGACACUGAUCGAGGCGAAUCUAGUGAAAAGGUCAAAUUAUUUUACGAGUUGUCGCCAUACCGGGCUCGACCAGCACCAUGGCUAUUAUGCAGACUGCAAUUUCACCUCCAGCGUGCUCUGAAAAACGCCGAAUUGUAAAUCUCGAUCGUGCCCGGCUCGUAAUAACUUUAUCGCGUUGCAACACUGGAUUCGCCAGGUGAAUCGCUUUCCAGUGACGAAAUUUUUAGUGACAUAGGGCUGUUUGUAAUCAGACACUUGGCGAUGCCGGUUAAUCGCUUUAUCGUUGCUUCAUGGUUUAUGCUGUAAAGGGAUAUAUAGGUUGAACCGUGACGUGUAUGCGGUAUGAUUUUUAACGUCGUGAGUUUUCCACACGGAUUCAUUUCUACGUUCAUUUGGCAUUUAAAUCGGAGUACAAAAGGAUUCUAUGACAGUUUAAGCGUUUAUAUGCGAUCAGUUUGAGCGUUUAUAACGCGAUUGUUAAUAAUAGGCACGAUUAAAUACAUUUACUUUCCUCCAAUUCCUGGGAUUUCAAACAAAAUGAAAGCCUUGAACUUUGUAUCCUUGUGUCACUCCGCGAACUUUAAACUUUCUAUUUCAUGAAAAUAUAUUCGCAUACCUGAAGCAAAUUACAAAUUCCUAUAUGGUGGAUAAAUUCUGAAAGCAUCAAGGAAUCUGGACGAACCUAGCCGAUCUUAAAAGUGUCGACUUAAUUACGAUCAGAAUUAACAUCAACCACAGAAUACUAUUUUAAAAAAAAUCAACAAAUUAAUAAUUCCACUUCCUCCUAUCUUGUUCCGUCCAUAUUACGAAUCAUAGUAAUUCAAUUUAAGAAAUGACGCGAAUAGAACGCAAUUUCUUCGAGCUACAAACGUGUAUGUUCGUGGUUGAAAAAAGAUCGAGAUACGAGUCAAUGGGGACUAGUCAGUUACAAAUAGCUCUAUUGACGGCGUUGUUAAUGACUGAUAACAGUGAUUUGCCGUCGUCGUUUCCCGUUUGUUCGUCGAACGUCACGACCUACCGAUAGAAGCGUUCGGCGAACGAUCCGGAUGAACUCGGUUGGCCAUUUAAUCCCGUUGCUCAGUUGCGUUCCCUGCUUCGUUCUUCAUGGCGAAUUAUCAAUGUCACGUAGUGCUUCCUCAGCAAAUCCAUUUACCACGCAUUGCUUGUUACAUGACGUUCUUCGUUCGUCAACCCCUCGCCUUCCUACCCUAAAGAAUUUGCAAGAUAAAUGGUCGGUUCGCUUCCGGAUUCCUUGGACCACCCGUGUAGGAAAGCGAUGAACAUGAUCUUUAUUCAAAGUACUCCUUUUAUGAAAGAAGCCAGCUGCUCCUAGUUGUUUUGUUUAAAUAAAAAGCGAUACAAAAUGCAGAGCAACGAGGACGAGAGAUGCGAGAGUAAUAGAAAAUGGAUGUUCUACAGUAGCUUUUGGAAAAGAAAAAUUAUUAUAAGAUGCUGUGAACAAGGUUUCAAAGAAUUUCAGAUAUUGAGUUAUUUGUUCGAGAUUUAAUAGAAAAUUGACUGGAUACGAAAAAUUGUUGAACUUAAUUGAUACCAAAAUAUACAUAAGUUGCUCUAAUAAUUUUCACCUCGUUAAUACUACACAUUCCUUCAAUCAUUACAAUCCUUGGAUUUUCAUAUUUCAAUCUUUCUCUCAUUUUAACAAACAAAAGGUAUCUGUAAUGUUUCGAGAAUAUGUUUGAUAUAAAAUCGAUAUCAGGAGAGCCAAGUAUACCAAUAACAAUAUUAUCAUGUUUCGUUUGAACUGCGAAAAUAUUUGUCAAUGUUUGAAAAAUAUUCUUCGGUCUUGAAUAAACCGAAAGGCUGUAACAGGAUUAAUAUUUGAAUAUUGUAAGCAUAAAGAAUUAAAAAUUUCGAAAAUGCCAAAAAAAGAACACAAAGAAAAAGAUGAACGAACAAGUCAAGUUAGAAGAUUUCUGCUUUGGGCAAAGUACUAAAGAGUGUCAUCGAGAACGAUGGUUGGAAAGUAGAUGCGAAAGAUGGAUGAGAUUUCACGAAGCGGCGAGAUAUUGCGACAAGUGAGUCGGUCCAAUAGUUCAACGGCUUUCGCGAAAUCAACUCGCUCUCGCCAACGUUACCACACCCGCCGCAUUAUCGCCGCUGCUGUGAACAACAAUCAUUGCAGUUGUCAACGGCCGUCGUCGUUGGCUCUCUCGUCGGGCUUCUCUCUGCAUCGACGAUGACAACACCUCGUCGCGAGUCGACACGCGGGUUUUAUCCAUUCCGCGGCGUGCACCGUUACAAAACGCUCUCGCGUCCCAAAGAAUCCGUUUGUAAUCGCGGCGAAAGUCGACUCUGUAAUUCCUUCGCGGCAAAUGUAACGUUGUCGGUCGCAUGAGAAAACGAUGAUACGACCAUUUCUGGCUGGAAUGGCAGAGGUUCCUUUUUCGCUGAGAUUUUUUCCAUCGUCUUCAGAAUCAAUUAAAAGGAAAACGACCGUAUUUUGUGGCAGGUAUUAGAUAAAUAAGAAAAAAAAGGGUAUUUAAGAUUUAAGACUCAACUUUCAAAUAUGAAAUAAUGAAGAAAAUAGUGAAGAAUUCAUAAUUAUUAUACUAUUGUUGGAGAUAAUUUACUUUCUCAUUCCCGAUGAGACGUACGUGUACAGUGGAGUGGAAAGAUUUUUCGAUCAGAAUAAAUUGUUAACUUUAUAUUCGUGAAGCAGCAUGUAAAGGAAUUUUAAAUAAUAUAAGUUUCAAAGGUACGAUAAAUAAAAGCGAAUAGUAUAAUACACAAAUACUGUUACAUGUAUAAUUGUAUAAUAUUAUUUAAAAUUCUUUUCUGCUUUCGUAAUAUAAAGUGAAAGAUCCACCUGGUUAGAAGCUUUCUCGCAUCAUCCUGUAUGAAGAUCACAGGAAAAGGUUAAAAUUUCAUCCAAAAGUUUCCCUAUAAGAAUAAUUACGUUUUUCGCUUUCUAUAGACGAGCAGUUUUUAAAUCAAACACUUCGACAACCGCUCUUGAACUGUUAUGAGUAAUUCUGUCAAACGUGCUAUACGUAUGCUCCUUUUGCAAAGAGUUUGAAACCUUUUUCAAACAAAGUCACGUUUAAACGAAAAAGGAGCACAAAGUAAUUUUUACGGAAUUCUAAAGCAUGCGCUACCUCAUCACCUUGAAAACUUUUAAUUAACACAAGAGCAGCAAGACCAUGGGGACAAAAAGAAAAAGUUCAUCGUGGCUAGAGUCAAUCUGUGAGGAAAAGUAAAAAACUGUAACUGGAACGGUGGAUUCAAUCAGCCAUUUUUUCGCACAACGAAAACGAGCUUCGUUUAAUCCCGGUGGACCAGUUUUCUGCAGAGACAAUUAACGUAACCUCGCCGCCGGAAAUUGAAAGCGACGAACACGGAAGCGAACUCGCAAGGCGAGGUUGUUGCAAGGUUUCGUUAUGUGGCUUACCGCGGCUAUCAGUAAUUCGGCUAGUUUCUGUAUUUUAUUUUUCAUCGUGAGUUUCGUCGUGUAGUCACGCGAAACGUCACGGUAAUUAAAAGUGCCACGAAAAUAGUCGAGAGGCAUACAAAUUUUUGCUGGUACAGGCGAGAAUAAAAAGCUACUUGCAAAAGUAAGGAUCAUAGAUAAUACCUGAACUCAUUAAUAUUGUCAGCGAAAGUUCACAAGUCACAAGUUAUCAAUUCCAAUAAAUUCUCUUACGAUGCAGUAACAAAUUUAACACUGGAACUAGUCUGUCUGCAAUAUGUAUUUAAAUAUUCGAUACAUAAAUCGUUAUGAUUAUGUUUCUAUCGAAAAUCGAUAUUGGUUUUAGCAAAGUUUUAGAAAAAUAUCUGUGUUUUCAGUAAUUCUAAGAGAAGAAAAUCUGACAUCGGUU
Molecule: long non-coding RNA, 5465 nt
Organism: Bombus pyrosoma
Lineage: Eukaryota; Metazoa; Arthropoda; Insecta; Hymenoptera; Apidae
Exons: 3
Source: RefSeq, a predicted model, not a curated record